UUGGUGAGGAGUCCUCACAAAUCGCACCGUGCGCGCUUAGAGCAAGUCUCGAAUCAGCCUUAGCUCAGUAUUCUAGAGGACUGCAUCCAGCAGAAAGUUAAAGUGGAGUGGAGGUAUAGAGUUACAAAUGUUUCUGUCUCAGUGAGGGAGCAUGUGAAUAUUUCAGUCAGUGAUCGUUAGACAGUUAGUUAGAUGGGUAGUUAGAUGGGUAGUUAGAUAGUUAGUUAGAUGGGUAGUUAGUUAGUUAGAUGGGUAGUUAGAUGGUUAGUUAGAUGGGUAGUUAGAUGGUAGUUAUAUAGUUAGUUAGAUGGGUAGUUAGUUAGUUAGAUGGAUAGUUAGAUGGGUAGUUAGAUGGUAGUUAUAUAGUUAGUUAGAUGGGUAGUUAGAUGGGUAGUUAGAUAGUUAGAUGGGUAGUUAGUUAGUUAGAUGGAUAGUUAGAUGGGUAGUUAGAUGGGUAGUUAGAUGGGUAGUUAGUUAGUUAGAUGGAUAGUUAGAUGGGUAGUUAGAUGGUAGUUAUAUAGUUAGUUAGAUGGGUAGUUAGUUAGUUAGAUGGAUAGUUAGAUGGUUAGUUAGAUGGGUAGUUAGUUAGUUAGAUGGUUAGUUAGAUGGGUAGUUAGAUAGUUAGUUAGAUGGAUAGUUAGAUGGGUAGUAAGAGUUAGAUAUUUAGCUAGAUGAGUAGUUAUUUAGUCAGAUGGGUAGUUAGUUAGUUAGAUGGAUAGUUAGAUGGGUAGUUAGAUGGUUAGUUAGAUGGGUAGUUAGUUAGUUAGAUGGAUAGUUAGAUGGUAGUUAUAUAGUUAGUUAGAUGGGUAGUUAGUUAGUUAGAUGGAUAGUUAGAUGGGUAGUUAGAUGGUUAGUUAGAUGGGUAGUUAGAUGGGUAGUUAGUUAGUUAGAUGGAUAGUUAGAUGGUAGUUAUAUAGUUAGUUAGAUGGGUAGUUAGUUAGUUAGAUGGAUAGUUAGAUGGGUAGUUAGAUGGUAGUUAUAUAGUUAGUUAGAUGGAUAGUUAGAUAGUUAGUUAGAUGGGUAGUUAGUUAGUUAGAUGGAUAGUUAGAUGGGUAGUUAGAUGGGUAGUUAGAUGGUAGUUAUAUAGUUAGUUAGAUGGGUAGUUAGAUAGUUAGUUAGAUGGAUAGUUAGAUGGGUAGUAAGAGUUAGAUAUUUAGCUAGAUGAGUAGUUAUUUAGUCAGAUCGAUAGUUAGUUAGUUAGUUAGAUGGGUAGAUUAGUACUAUUUGUUUUUGGCUCAAAUGCGCUUCCUGUACUUCUUCAGUGUUUCAGAGUUACAGAAUUGUUUUGGUUUUGGCUGAACUGCUUUCUUUCACAUGAUUGUUUGCUCCUGAGUGCCAGAAAAGCGUUCGCCCUUUUAUCGAGAGAAGCCACGUA
This is a long non-coding RNA of Ictalurus furcatus (blue catfish), 1375 nucleotides long. RefSeq lists it as uncharacterized. NCBI's taxonomy places the organism in Eukaryota, Metazoa, Chordata, Actinopteri, Siluriformes, Ictaluridae. The transcript is spliced from 4 exons. The record is from RefSeq and is a predicted model, not a curated record.